CAGCGAUGCCGCGUGAGUGAAGAAGGCCUUCGGGUUGUAAAGCCCUUUUGUUCGGGACGAAAUCGUACGGGUGAAUAUCCCGUGCGGAUGACGGUACCGAAAGAAUAAGCACCGGCUAACUUCGUGCCAGCAGCCGCGGUAAUACGAAGGGUGCAAGCGUUACUCGGAAUUACUGGGCGUAAAGCGUGCGUAGGCGGUUUGUUAAGUCCGCUGUGAAAGCCCUGGGCUCAACCUGGGAAUUGCAGUGGAUACUGGCAAGCUAGAGUGCGGUAGAGGAUGGUGGAAUUCCCGGUGUAGCGGUGAAAUGCGUAGAGAUUCGGGAGGAACACCCGUGGCGAAGGCGGCCAUCUGACCAGCACUGACGCUGAGCCCGAA
Molecule: ribosomal RNA, 375 nt
Filed under: uncultured bacterium
Lineage: Bacteria
Description: bacterial SSU rRNA
Rfam family: Bacterial small subunit ribosomal RNA
Source: RNAcentral